This 233-nucleotide unclassified non-coding RNA is filed under the name uncultured fungus. Its description in RNAcentral is "sequence contains ITS1". Lineage: Eukaryota; Fungi. The record is from RNAcentral.
CAGAUGCGCCGCGGUGAUGGCCGCACCUGAUUCCCCUGCGUGUAACAAAUCGAGGUAUUCGAGCGCCGCUUGUGCCACUGCUGGAAGCGCGGAUCGCUCGGAUGGAUUAGUCGGGGGCACAGAAGGCGUGUGGACGGGAAUGUCCACGAUUCGUUGGGACAGCGUCGCUACGGGCGGCUCGGGCUGAAUGCGGUGCGUAAGAACGGUUGGCGCUCCGGCGUCAUCCCAUCGCU